GUGAGUAACGCGUGGGUAACCUGCCCUAUGGAGGGGGAUAACACAGUGAACACUGUGCUAAUACCGCAUAAGCGCACGGUGUCGCAUGACACAGUGUGAAAAACUCCGGUGCCAUAUGAUGGCACCGCGUCAGAUUAGCUAGUUGGUGAGAUAACAGCUCACCAAGGCGACGAUCUGUGGCCGACCUGAGAGGGUGAUCGGCCACAUUGGGACUGAGACACGGCCCAAACUCCUACGGGAGGCCGCAGUGGGGGAUAUUGCACAAUGGGGGAAACCCUGAUGCAGCAAUGCCGCGUGAAGGAAGAAGGUCUUCGGACCGUACACUUCUAUCAGCAGGGAAGACAAUGACUGUACCUGACUAAGAAGCCCCGGCUAACUACGUGCCAGCAGCCGUGGUAAUACGUAUGGGGCAAGCGUUAUCCGGACUUACUGGGUGUCAAGGGUACGUAGGCGGCAUGGCAAGUCAGAUGUGAAAGCCCGGGGCUCAACUCCGGGACUGCAUUUGAAACUGUCAAGCUAGAGUACAGGAGAGGAAAGCGGAAUUCCUAGUGUAGCGGUGAAAUGCGUCGAUAUUAGGAAGAACACCAGUGGCGAAUGCGGCUUUCUGGACUGUAACUGACGCUGAGGUACGACAGCGUGGGGAGCGAACAGGAUUAGAUACCCUGGUAAUCCACGCUGUAAACGAUGAAUGCUAAGUGUCGGGCGUCACAACUCGGUGCCG
RNAcentral lists this ribosomal RNA (721 nucleotides) under uncultured organism. RNAcentral's name for it is "bacterial SSU rRNA". It matches the Rfam family "Bacterial small subunit ribosomal RNA", at positions 106 to 848 of the family's 1533-position model. The record is from RNAcentral.